RNAcentral lists this ribosomal RNA (454 nucleotides) under uncultured bacterium. RNAcentral describes it as "bacterial SSU rRNA". It matches the Rfam family "Bacterial small subunit ribosomal RNA", at positions 338 to 795 of the family's 1533-position model. The record is from RNAcentral.
CCUACGGGUGGCAGCAGUGGGGAAUCUUGCACAAUGGGCGAAAGCCUGAUGCAGCGACGCCGCGUGGGGGAUGAAGCAUUUCGGUGUGUAAACCCCUUUCGACCGGGAAGAAUGCCUCGCAAGAGGAGUGACGGUACCGGUAUAAGAAGCCCCGGCUAACUACGUGCCAGCAGCCGCGGUAAUACGUAGGGGGCGAGCGUUGUCCGGAGUUACUGGGCGUAAAGGGCAUGCAGGCGGUCGUACGCGUUUUGUGUGACAGCGGGUGGCUUAACUAUCCGAGUAUGCGAAAGACGGUAUGACUUGAGGGCUCGAGAGGGACACGGAAUUCCGGGUGGAGUGGUGAAAUGCGUAGAGAACCGGAGGAACACCGAAGGCGAAGGCAGUGUCCUGGCGAGUGACUGACGCUGAGAUGCGAGAGCCAGGGGAGCGAACGGGAUUAGAUACCCGGGUAGUC